RNAcentral lists this ribosomal RNA (396 nucleotides) under uncultured bacterium. RNAcentral's name for it is "partial 16S ribosomal RNA". It matches the Rfam family "Bacterial small subunit ribosomal RNA", at positions 523 to 918 of the family's 1533-position model. The record is from RNAcentral.
AUACGGAGGAUGCGAGCGUUAUCCGGAUUUACUGGGUGUAAAGGGCGCGUAGGCGGGAUGGCAAGUCAGAUGUGAAAUCUCCGGGCUCAACCCGGAAACUGCAUUUGAAACUGUCGUUCUUGAGUAUCGGAGAGGCAAGCGGAAUUCCUAGUGUAGCGGUGAAAUGCGUAGAUAUUAGGAGGAACACCAGUGGCGAAGGCGGCUUGCGGGACGACAACUGACGCUGAGGCGCGAAAGCGUGGGGAGAAAACAGGAUUAGAUACCCUGGUGGUCCACGCCGUAAACGAUGAAUACUAGGUGUGGGGGGACUGACCCCCUCCGUGCCGCAGUUAACACAAUAAGUAUUCCACCUGGGGAGUACGACCGCAAGGUUGAAACUCAAAUGAAUUGACGGGG